This 252-nucleotide ribosomal RNA is filed under the name uncultured bacterium. RNAcentral's name for it is "partial 16S ribosomal RNA". It matches the Rfam family "Bacterial small subunit ribosomal RNA", at positions 525 to 776 of the family's 1533-position model. The record is from RNAcentral.
ACGAAGGUCCCAAGCGUUGUUCGGAAUCACUGGGCGUAAAGCGUGCGUAGGCGGCAUGGUAAGUCAGAUGUGAAAUCUUUGGGCUCAACCCGGAAACUGCAUCCGAUACUGCCAUGCUAGAGUAAUGGAGGGGUAGCUGGAAUUCUCGGUGUAGCAGUGAAAUGCGUAGAUAUCGAGAGGAACACUCGUGGCGAAGGCGAGCUACUGGACAUUUACUGACGCUCAGGCACGAAGGCUAGGGUAGCGAAAGGG